This is a non-coding RNA of Carica papaya (papaya), 1206 nucleotides long. The record is from RefSeq and is a predicted model, not a curated record. Lineage: Eukaryota; Viridiplantae; Streptophyta; Magnoliopsida; Brassicales; Caricaceae.
UCAAACCAGGUAAAUAAUUUUCUGGAUUUGAUUAUCUCGCUCUCCCUCCGUUGCUCGCUCGCUUGCUCGCUCGCCGCUCGCUCUGUGAAGAAGAAAGUCGAUCCGUACUUCCCCGUCUCAAUCGAAGUUUUAUUCUCGCAGAUCUAGUCCCAGGCCGCAAUAAUGUCGGACAACUCUGGUUGUACCGUUUACGUAGGUCAGUCUUCUUUCUUUCUUGAUUUUAUUUUUGAGAUUUCUUGGUUUUUUUUUCUUUUGUAUAUUUCGCCAGAAUUUACUUUUAGCGCAAGGGAAUGGAACGGAUUCUCUUGGAUCUAUCGGCUGAUUCCUGAAAAGUUUAUUGGAGGAAAACGGAAGGUUUCCUGUGAAGCAAACGGGACCUAGAGAAAAGGAGUUCCGAAUUGUUCUAAGAUGUAAUCUUGAUGAGAGGGUGAGUGACAGAGUUUUAUAUGAUAUUUUAAUUCAAGCUGGACGCUUAGUAGACUUGUACAUUCCUCGAGACAAGGAAACUGAUAAACCCAAAGGUUAUGCAUUUGCGGAGUAUGAAACCGAGGAGAUUGCAGACUAUGCAGUGAGGCUUUUCUCUGGUCUUGUGACUCUUUACAAGCGGACAUUGAAGUUUGCGAUAUCCGGACAGGACAAGCCAGCACAAAGUGCCUCCAUGACGACUACUCCUGGAUCAAAUAUUCCUCAUAAAUCAAGACGUUACACUGUGUCCAAUAUGGAUAGCCCUCAGCAUUCAGUGAAGGUGUCACCAUCCUGCAAGGUUUCAGCUUAUGCUUCAAAUUAUUCUCAAGAGCCAGCUCCCCCUGGUGUAAAACACCACAUUAAUGGGUAUGGAUCACAUUUCAAUGGCAUCAAUUAUGAAUACAGUCGAAGGGUUUUUGGGUCAACAUUGGAUAGCAUUAGCCACUUUAGGUCACGACGGUUUGAUACAACUCACCCAAUUUCAUAUCGUUAUUAAUAAAACCCAUUAUGUGCUUAUCGAAGGAAAACGAAGAAUUGUCUCUUGUUGUACUAUAUUGGCGGGCUACAUAAUUACUCAGGCAAUAGAUGGUGACUUGUUAGUUGAAGGUUAGUGAAAGAUGCUUUGUAGCUUUCAGUUUAGUUUGAGUUUUUAGUAAUUUACUCCAUAGACUUAACUAGCAUUUAGUCCUUGUAUGUUCCCUCAAUGUUGUAGUCCAACUAAAGCUUGUUUCUUUGCCGGGU